GCGGGUGUAGCUCAGUGGAAUAGCUCAUUCUUUGCAUGCAUGAAGUCUUAGGUUUGAUACCCAACACCUCCA
This 72-nucleotide transfer RNA is filed under the name Dipodomys ordii (Ord's kangaroo rat). It matches the Rfam family "tRNA". From Rfam's summary of the family: Transfer RNA (tRNA) molecules are approximately 80 nucleotides in length. Their secondary structure includes four short double-helical elements and three loops (D, anti-codon, and T loops). The record is from Rfam by way of RNAcentral. Lineage: Eukaryota; Metazoa; Chordata; Mammalia; Rodentia; Heteromyidae.